Molecule: ribosomal RNA, 309 nt
Filed under: Triticum aestivum (bread wheat)
Lineage: Eukaryota; Viridiplantae; Streptophyta; Magnoliopsida; Poales; Poaceae
Description: partial small subunit ribosomal RNA
Source: RNAcentral
AUGCAUUCAGAGGUCCUGGUGGAAAAUAACAAGAAAAUUUGGAGGUCUAAGAUUCCACUCGCAGUCAAAAUAUUUAUGUGGUAUCUUUGAAGGGGAUUUGUACUUACCAAAGACAACCUCGCCCAUCGCAAUUCUCGAGGAAAUAAGAAGUGUGGCUUGUGUACUCACGACGACACAAUGAAGGACCUCUUUUUCCGGUGCACGUUUGUGUGUUCUAUGUGGUCAGUCAUACAAAUAGCGUCCAAUUUGUAUCCUCUCAUAAGUGUUGCCAAUAUUUUUUGGUCACUGAUUGGACGGUAUUUCAAAUAG